This 497-nucleotide ribosomal RNA is filed under the name uncultured bacterium. Its description in RNAcentral is "partial 16S ribosomal RNA". It matches the Rfam family "Bacterial small subunit ribosomal RNA", at positions 28 to 507 of the family's 1533-position model. The record is from RNAcentral.
GAUGAACGCUGGCGGCGUGCCUAAUACAUGCGAGUCGAGCGAACAGACGAGGAGCUUGCUCCUCUGACGUUAGCGGCGGACGGGUGAGUAACACGUGGAUAACCUACCUAUAAGACUGGGAUAACUUCGGGAAACCGGAGCUAAUACCGGAUAAUAUAUUGAACCGCAUGGUUCAAUAGUGAAAGACGGUUUUGCUGUCACUUAUAGAUGGAUCCGCGCCGCAUUAGCUAGUUGGUAAGGUAACGGCUUACCAAGGCAACGAUGCGUAGCCGACCUGAGAGGGUGAUCGGCCACACUGGAACUGAGACACGGUCCAGACUCCUUCGGGAGGCAGCAGUAGGGAAUCUUCCGCAAUGGGCGAAAGCCUGACGGAGCAACGCCGCGUGAGUGAUGAAGGUCUUCGGAUCGUAAAACUCUGUUAUUAGGGAAGAACAAAUGUGUAAGUAACUAUGCACGUCUUGACGGUACCUAAUCAGAAAGCCACGGCUAACUACGUG